UUUUGCUCAUCGCCCGAGGGGUGCCAAAGGGAAAAGGUUUCCUUCAGCUUCAUCCAAAAACGCAGGGGCGCGUCUCUGGGGGGGGGGGUCUCUUGGCACCUGCGGAUCUCCCCCUAGGCACGUUAACUUGGUGCCGGAUGACGGCCAAUUGCGAGGUUAGAGUGGAUUGCGGGAUCGUGUGGAAAGAAGCAGCACCAUUUCUGGGCAUUGGGAAAGAUGCCUGUUGAAAUGCUGGUUUCCAGGAAGCGGUGAUGGCUGGCAUAGAUGGGGAAUGCGGGCCGCUGUGGGUGAAGCUAUGUGCCUGAACCCCCUAACAGGGCAGAUCCCGUCAGUACGGUGAUGACUGUUUGAGGGGCACUGGUUGCCAAAUGAGUGCUAGGGGGUCUCGUGCUUUAGCCAUGCUGGCAUGGUGUGCUGCACCGACAGAAUCUCUCGCACCAGGAACACGGCCAGAUAUUCGUGCACCAUUUUUACGCCUAAGGAGUAGCUCAUGCAGGAAGCAGCUGAUGCUUUGUUUUUCGACGUACUCAGACAGUCCUGUAAACCUCUUAUUUCCAGGUAGAACUGCCUUACAUCGCGUGACACUUGGCCUGUGACUGGAUAGCCUUACCGCAUGAUCGUGAAGCUCUUCCUCCGCGUCUGCGCUAAUCAUCCAACAUAUGCUCUUCGAGUCUGAAAAUGUGGCGACUUUGGCGUUUGCAUUAUUACGAGGAUGGCCGUGAAGUGCCAUGUGAUCGAAGGUGCCCCGUCGCUUGUGGCUCUGAGAGCUGUGUGUGUGCGCGCCUCUGAAACAUGGGUCGACAAGUCUGAAUGGUGCUGGCUAUGGGCGCAUUGACUCGCAGAUUGUAGUGACGCUGGGUUGUUGCAGGCCGUUUUCAAGAGGGCCAGAUGCUGUAAAGGGCGUUUUUCAGUUCCCUUCAUGCAUGACCCGCGCAGACUGCUGGGGAUUCACAGUCUUUACCAUUUUAUCGAACAAAUUCCAUUUGGCACAAGAGCUGUUGUCGAAGCUUUGAUUUGUGCCUGUGAAUCAUGCGCUGCCCCAGGGAGGGCGCUGUGCUGCU
Molecule: unclassified non-coding RNA, 1061 nt
Filed under: Leishmania donovani
Lineage: Eukaryota; Euglenozoa; Kinetoplastea; Trypanosomatida; Trypanosomatidae
Description: gene:unknown
Source: RNAcentral